UGAACUGGGUGCAGACUCACAUCUAAUCGU
This 30-nucleotide non-coding RNA is filed under the name Rattus norvegicus (Norway rat). Lineage: Eukaryota; Metazoa; Chordata; Mammalia; Rodentia; Muridae. The record is from RNAcentral.